UUAAGUUAUUAAGGGCGCACGGUGGAUGCCUUGGCACUAGAAGCCGAUGAAGGACGUUACUAACGACGAUAUGCUUUGGGGAGCUGUAAGUAAGCUUUGAUCCAGAGAUUUCCGAAUGGGGAAACCCAGCAUGAGUUAUGUCAUGUUAUCGAUAUGUGAAUACAUAGCAUAUCAGAAGGCACACCCGGAGAACUGAAACAUCUUAGUACCCGGAGGAAGAGAAAGAAAAUUCGAUUCCCUUAGUAGCGGCGAGCGAAACGGGAAGAGCCCAAACCAACAAGCUUGCUUGUUGGGGUUGUAGGACACUCUAUACGGAGUUACAAAGGACGACAUUAGACGAAUCAUCUGGAAAGAUGAAUCAAAGAAGGUAAUAAUCCUGUAGUCGAAAAUGUUGUCUCUCUUGAGUGGAUCCUGAGUACGACGGAGCACGUGAAAUUCCGUCGGAAUCUGGGAGGACCAUCUCCUAAGGCUAAAUACUCUCUAGUGACCGAUAGUGAACCAGUACCGUGAGGGAAAGGUGAAAAGCACCCCGGAAGGGGAGUGAAAUAGAACCUGAAACCGUGUGCUUACAAGUAGUCAGAGCCCGUUAAUGGGUGAUGGCGUGCCUUUUGUAGAAUGAACCGGCGAGUUACGAUUUGAUGCAAGGUUAAGCAGUAAAUGUGGAGCCGUAGCGAAAGCGAGUCUGAAUAGGGCGUUUAGUAUUUGGUCGUAGACCCGAAACCAGGUGAUCUACCCUUGGUCAGGUUGAAGUUCAGGUAACACUGAAUGGAGGACCGAACCGACUUACGUUGAAAAGUGAGCGGAUGAACUGAGGGUAGCGGAGAAAUUCCAAUCGAACCUGGAGAUAGCUGGUUCUCUCCGAAAUAGCUUUAGGGCUAGCCUCAAGUGAUGAUUAUUGGAGGUAGAGCACUGUUUGGACGAGGGGCCCCUCUCGGGUUACCGAAUUCAGACAAACUCCGAAUGCCAAUUAAUUUAACUUGGGAGUCAGAACAUGGGUGAUAAGGUCCGUGUUCGAAAGGGAAACAGCCCAGACCACCAGCUAAGGUCCCAAAAUAUAUGUUAAGUGGAAAAGGAUGUGGCGUUGCCCAGACAACUAGGAUGUUGGCUUAGAAGCAGCCAUCAUUUAAAGAGUGCGUAAUAGCUCACUAGUCGAGUGACACUGCGCCGAAAAUGUACCGGGGCUAAACAUAUUACCGAAGCUGUGGAUUGUCCUUUGGACAAUGGUAGGAGAGCGUUCUAAGGGCGUUGAAGCAUGAUCGUAAGGACAUGUGGAGCGCUUAGAAGUGAGAAUGCCGGUGUGAGUAGCGAAAGACGGGUGAGAAUCCCGUCCACCGAUUGACUAAGGUUUCCAGAGGAAGGCUCGUCCGCUCUGGGUUAGUCGGGUCCUAAGCUGAGGCCGACAGGCGUAGGCGAUGGAUAACAGGUCGAUAUUCCUGUACCACCUAUAAUCGUUUUAAUCGAUGGGGGGACGCAGUAGGAUAGGCGAAGCGUGCGAUUGGAUUGCACGUCUAAGCAGUAAGGCUGAGUAUUAGGCAAAUCCGGUACUCGUUAAGGCUGAGCUGUGAUGGGGAGAAGACAUUGUGUCUUCGAGUCGUUGAUUUCACACUGCCGAGAAAAGCCUCUAGAUAGAAAAUAGGUGCCCGUACCGCAAACCGACACAGGUAGUCAAGAUGAGAAUUCUAAGGUGAGCGAGCGAACUCUCGUUAAGGAACUCGGCAAAAUGACCCCGUAACUUCGGGAGAAGGGGUGCUCUUUAGGGUUAACGCCCAGAAGAGCCGCAGUGAAUAGGCCCAAGCGACUGUUUAUCAAAAACACAGGUCUCUGCUAAACCGUAAGGUGAUGUAUAGGGGCUGACGCCUGCCCGGUGCUGGAAGGUUAAGAGGAGUGGUUAGCUUCUGCGAAGCUACGAAUCGAAGCCCCAGUAAACGGCGGCCGUAACUAUAACGGUCCUAAGGUAGCGAAAUUCCUUGUCGGGUAAGUUCCGACCCGCACGAAAGGCGUAACGAUUUGGGCACUGUCUCAACGAGAGACUCGGUGAAAUCAUAGUACCUGUGAAGAUGCAGGUUACCCGCGACAGGACGGAAAGACCCCGUGGAGCUUUACUGUAGCCUGAUAUUGAAAUUCGGCACAGCUUGUACAGGAUAGGUAGGAGCCUUUGAAACGUGAGCGCUAGCUUACGUGGAGGCGCUGGUGGGAUACUACCCUAGCUGUGUUGGCUUUCUAACCCGCACCACUUAUCGUGGUGGGAGACAGUGUCAGGCGGGCAGUUUGACUGGGGCGGUCGCCUCCUAAAAGGUAACGGAGGCGCUCAAAGGUUCCCUCAGAAUGGUUGGAAAUCAUUCAUAGAGUGUAAAGGCAUAAGGGAGCUUGACUGCGAGACCUACAAGUCGAGCAGGGUCGAAAGACGGACUUAGUGAUCCGGUGGUUCCGCAUGGAAGGGCCAUCGCUCAACGGAUAAAAGCUACCCCGGGGAUAACAGGCUUAUCUCCCCCAAGAGUUCACAUCGACGGGGAGGUUUGGCACCUCGAUGUCGGCUCAUCGCAUCCUGGGGCUGUAGUCGGUCCCAAGGGUUGGGCUGUUCGCCCAUUAAAGCGGUACGCGAGCUGGGUUCAGAACGUCGUGAGACAGUUCGGUCCCUAUCCGUCGUGGGCGUAGGAAAUUUGAGAGGAGCUGUCCUUAGUACGAGAGGACCGGGAUGGACAUACCUCUGGUGUACCAGUUGUCGUGCCAACGGCAUAGCUGGGUAGCUAUGUGUGGACGGGAUAAGUGCUGAAAGCAUCUAAGCAUGAAGCCCCCCUCAAGAUGAGAUUUCCCAACUUCGGUUAUAAGAUCCCUCAAAGAUGAUGAGGUUAAUAGGUUCGAGGUGGAAGCAUGGUGACAUGUGGAGCUGACGAAUACUAAUCGAUCGAAGACUUAAUCAA
Molecule: ribosomal RNA, 2921 nt
Filed under: Staphylococcus aureus DAR3790
Lineage: Bacteria; Bacillati; Bacillota; Bacilli; Caryophanales; Staphylococcaceae
Description: bacterial LSU rRNA
Rfam family: Bacterial large subunit ribosomal RNA
Source: RNAcentral